GCAGAGCCAGCUUCAGUUAGCUCCAGUUUCAGCAUAGCAGCUUGCUGAAGGCUAUGAAAGGGUCGUGUUUUUUCCUGUCUGCCGUAUCCAUGUCAGGGGCCUGGAGAGCCAACUGACUCUCCUGUCAGACAUGGGAAGAAUUCCUUAUGUCCCGGAGCUUCCUGUUUUUGUUUUUGUUUUUUUUUCCUAUUUUAUCUCCCAUUGGCAAAAAUGUGCUGGUCACAGGCUCAGAGCUACGCUUCGGGACCGGAAGAGAUCAUCUCUAGAUGGCUGCAACUUCACAAGGUGUCAAGAAUCAAAGAGAACAAAUUUAACUGGUCACAAUGAGGAAGCUGUGGGAGACAGUCCUAAUCUUUUUUCAAUAUUACCAUCAAGAGCAAGGAAAAGAAAAAUGAGGGACAAGUGGCACAGACAUGGUCUCUUAAAAUUCAGCAACCAAAAGUAA
This 445-nucleotide long non-coding RNA is filed under the name Anas platyrhynchos platyrhynchos (common mallard). Its description in RNAcentral is "lncRNA (ENSAPLG00000024521.1)". Lineage: Eukaryota; Metazoa; Chordata; Aves; Anseriformes; Anatidae. The record is from RNAcentral.